Long non-coding RNA from Hydractinia symbiolongicarpus, 525 nucleotides. RefSeq lists it as uncharacterized. The transcript is spliced from 3 exons. NCBI's taxonomy places the organism in Eukaryota, Metazoa, Cnidaria, Hydrozoa, Anthoathecata, Hydractiniidae. The record is from RefSeq and is a predicted model, not a curated record.
UCUCACAUAACUUACCUUUUGACUUUCCCAUCUUUUUUUAUCGUGACGUGUAGUGCAUAAGUGGAACACUCAGGCUGUGUCUAUAUUUAUUUGGAAUUCCAAGAAAGUGAACUCAACAAUGUAAUAAGUGAGGGUAAACUUAUUAGAACCGGAAGUAAAAAAAAAUACUAUCAAACUAUCAUACAGAGUAAUCUUUCUUACGAAGACGCACUCAACCGCAUAUUUAAUCCGAUGGUGCCAAAUACAUAUUCGCCAAAAGAAAAGGUGAUAGUUGGUGAUGCAUUGAAUGGAACGACACUCACUUUACGUAACGAGAGUACGAGUGAUAGCGGUCCAACAUUGGAUUAUAUCAACAAGAUGGGGCACAUAUACAAAAUUAGACUGUUGAACGAGACCAAGAAUGAAGAUGUAGAAGAUGAAAUUAAAGACCAUAAACGCGGGAUGAAUUAAUACUCGACGAUAUGCCGAAUUUGCUGCUCAUAUUGAGAUCUUGAAAGAUUUAUUAUUGCCUAUAAAAUACUUAUA